Molecule: unclassified non-coding RNA, 342 nt
Filed under: Rickettsia sp.
Lineage: Bacteria; Pseudomonadati; Pseudomonadota; Alphaproteobacteria; Rickettsiales; Rickettsiaceae
Description: partial miscellaneous RNA
Source: RNAcentral
AUAGCUCGAUUGAUUUACUUUGCUGUGAGAUUACACAUGUAUAUAGUGUUUAUUCUAUAAUAUGUCAGUAUCAACUCACAAAGUUAUCAGGUUAAAAUAGCUUUAUCAAUUAAUAAAAGUGUUGUUGCAUGAUUGUUAUUCCGUGGCUUUAUUUAUAUGUCAUUCCUGCGAAAGCAGGAAUCCAGUAAAAUAUAAUGUCAUCUCGUGGCUUGUCCACGGGAUCUCAGGAUACAAAUUGUGAUACAAGAUAAUUAAGCCAUGCAACAACACUAACAGCAACCAAUACAAAUCUAUUAUUUAAAAAGUUUGUAUUGCUAGCUUGGUGGUUAUAGCAUGAGUGAA